GUCUACAGCCAUGCCACCCUGAGCAAGCCCAAUCCCGUCUGAUCUCAUGAAGCUAAGCAGGGUCGGGCCUGGUUAGUACUUGGGUGGGAGACCACCUAGGAAGACCAGGUGCUGUAGGCG
This 120-nucleotide ribosomal RNA is filed under the name Pteropus alecto (black flying fox). The record is from RNAcentral. Lineage: Eukaryota; Metazoa; Chordata; Mammalia; Chiroptera; Pteropodidae.